Molecule: ribosomal RNA, 460 nt
Filed under: uncultured bacterium
Lineage: Bacteria
Description: partial 16S ribosomal RNA
Rfam family: Bacterial small subunit ribosomal RNA
Source: RNAcentral
CCUACGGGAGGCAGCAGUGAGGAAUAUUGGUCAAUGGUCGGGAGACUGAACCAGCCAAGCCGCGUGAGGGAGGAAGGUACAGAGUAUCGUACACCUCUUUUGUCAGGGAACAAAGGCGGGGACGUGUCCUCGGAUGAGUGUACCUGAAGAAAAAGCAUCGGCUAACUCCGUGCCAGCAGCCGCGGUAAUACGGAGGAUGCGAGCGUUAUCCGGAUUUCUUGGGUUGAAGGGGUGGGCAGGCGGGCUGUUUAGUCAGCGGUGAAAGGCCGGGGCCCCACCCCGGGACCGCCGUUGAAACUGGCAGUCUCGAGUAGGAGAGAAGUAUGCGGAAUGCGCGGGGUAGCGGUGAAAUGCAUAGAUAUCGCGCAGAACUCCGAUUGCGAAGGCAGCAUGCCGGCUCCACACUGACGCUGAGGCACGAAAGCGUGGGUAUCGAACAGGAUUAGAUACCCGUGUAGUC